RNAcentral lists this ribosomal RNA (497 nucleotides) under uncultured bacterium. RNAcentral's name for it is "partial 16S ribosomal RNA". It matches the Rfam family "Bacterial small subunit ribosomal RNA", at positions 28 to 507 of the family's 1533-position model. The record is from RNAcentral.
GAUGAACGCUGGCGGCGUGCCUAAUACAUGCAAGUCGAGCGAACAGACGAGGAGCUUGCUCCUCUGACGUUAGCGGCGGACGGGUGAGUAACACGUGGAUAACCUACCUAUAAGACUGGGAUAACUUCGGGAAACCGGAGCUAAUACCGGAUAAUAUAUUGAACCGCAUGGUUCAAUAGUGAAAGACCGUUUUGCUGUCACUUAUAGAUGGAUCCGCGCCGCAUUAGCUAGUUGGUAAGGUAACGGCUUACCAAGGCGACGAUGCGUAGCCGACCUGAGAGGGUGAUCGGCCACACUGGAACUGAGACACGGUCCAGACUCCUACGGGAGGCAGCAGUAGGGAAUCUUCCGCAAAGGGCGAAAGCCUGACGGAGCAACGCCGCGUGAGUGAUGAAGGUCUUCGGAUCGUAAAACUCUGUUAUUAGGGAAGAACAAAUGUGUAAGUAACUAUGCACGUCUUGACGGUACCUAAUCAGAAAGCCACGGCUAACUACGUG